CCUACGGGAGGCAGCAGUGAGGAAUAUUGGUCAAUGGACGGAAGUCUGAACCAGCCAUGCCGCGUGCAGGAAGACGGCUCUAUGAGUUGUAAACUGCUUUUGUACAAGGGUAAACCUGAAUACGUGUAUUCGGCUGAAAGUACUGUACGAAUAAGGAUCGGCUAACUACGUGCCAGCAGCCGCGGUAAUACGGAGGGUCCAAGCGUUAUCCGGAUUUAUUGGGUUUAAAGGGUGCGUAGGCGGAUUGAUAAGUUAGAGGUGAAAUGUCCGAGCUUAACUCGGGAACUGCCUCUAAUACUGUUGAUCUAGAGAGUAGAUGCGGUAGGCGGAAUGUAUGGUGUAGCGGUGAAAUGCUUAGAGAUCAUACAGAACACCGAUUGCGAAGGCAGCUUACCAAUCUAUAUCUGACGUUGAGGCACGAAAGCGUGGGGAGCAAACAGGAUUAGAUACCCUGGUAGUC
Molecule: ribosomal RNA, 460 nt
Filed under: uncultured bacterium
Lineage: Bacteria
Description: partial 16S ribosomal RNA
Rfam family: Bacterial small subunit ribosomal RNA
Source: RNAcentral